Cyprinus carpio (common carp) is the source of this 1085-nucleotide RNA transcript. It is a transcript of the gene named calcium-binding protein 2-like, with no coding region annotated. The record is from RefSeq and is a predicted model, not a curated record. The transcript has 8 exons. NCBI's taxonomy places the organism in Eukaryota, Metazoa, Chordata, Actinopteri, Cypriniformes, Cyprinidae.
AGAGAAAGAGAGAGCGUGCCAUUGUUGCAGGGAUGUUCAUGAUUAUUCGAGAAGGAUCAGCAGGAGGGGCAGGUAGUACUGGCGGCAUGAGCGCUCCACCAGAGAGAACAGCCAAACAGGUCCAGGCCGCAAUCAAGAAGAAAGUGGAGAAACAGAGAAAGCAAGUUGAAAUGGGUGUGGUGGAGGUAUUUAACAGUAAUUCAAGACCUAAAAUGGGACAGAAAAAGAAUCAGCCCCUCCAUCCACCCAGCAGAAAUGGAGAUGGUGAGGAGGAAGAUGAGGAGGAGCCUGUUGAGACUGGGGAACAGAAGGAGAAGGAGAAGGAGGAACUCAGCCUCAGACCCAUCGUGGAUUCUGUUUUUGGCCAAGACAGGGAACUGCGGCCAGAAGAGAUAGAAGAACUAAGAGAAGCCUUUAAAGAGUUUGAUAGGAACAAAGGCUACAUCAACUGCAGGGACCUGGGCGAAUGCAUGCGGACGAUGGGAUACAUGCCAACAGAGAUGGAACUCAUUGAACUGAGUCAACAAAUAAGUGGGGGUAAAAUUGACUUUGAGGACUUUGUGGAACUCAUGGGCCCCAAAAUGCUGGCAGAGACAGCAGACAUGAUUGGAGUCAAGGAGCUGAGAGAUGCCUUUAAAGAGUUUGACUCCAAUGGAGAUGGGCAAAUCAGCAUCACAGAACUGAGAGAAGCCAUGAAGAAGCUAAUGGGGGAGCAGCUAAAUUCCAGGGAUAUUGACGAUAUACUUUGUGAUGCUGACCUCAACGGGGACGGACUUGUUGAUUUUGAAGAGUUUGUGAGGAUGAUGUCACGCUGACGAAAGCCACACAGAGAGACUUUAUUUUCAUCAUGAGACUCUAAGAGGGACAUAUGAAACGAGUGGUUCCUGCUUACGUUACUUGUAUCAUAUGACUCUGAACUCGGACAGAACGGUAAGCUAUAUGACAGACAGAAGUGCACUUCUUUUCAGUGUAUUUAAAAGAAAUGUAAUCAAACACGUCAUUUUGCAUCGUUUGGACCAACGCUUCAGUUUUAGAAACACUUCACGAUUAGAAAUAGAAUUGGUGGAGUGCUUUAUGUUUGAUGG